GACGAUUUUAUGAAAGCUAUUAAACUGUGUUCUGUUCUGUGUGUUAUAUUUUAAGUAUAUGGUGUUGUUUCACUCCCCUCCACACUGUAGUCCGUUAGGGGCGAUUUCAAUGUUGUUUAUACACCGACAAUGAAACUCGAAGAAGAAGAGAAAGAUGGCGGAGAAGAAGAAGAAGAGAAAGAUGGCGGUUGGCGGGCUGAACAAGUUGAUGUAAGCAGGAAACAAUUUACAGAUUUGACAUUUAGGUUGUUUAAAAAAAACAGGUAAAUGAGUAAAUGAUGACACAGACUCCUCGAACAGUAACGCUGAUGAUAGAAGCGAAGAUAUUAAGAAGAAGUCGUGAAGAACUGAUCGAUUCUGGAGCCGACGUUGAUGCUAACGUUAUGCUAACAGCGGCUCCAAUUAACUUACCUGUCGUACAAGCUAACAGUUAGCUUAGCUUCAUCGACCUGGCGUGAUUGGGAGUAAUGGCCGCUGUGAGCUGGAGGGUUUAUCCUGCUCAGGGGAGGAACAAACACCUGGUUCAAGUUGUAAAACAGGAGCGUCCACUGUCGCUCAGAAUGACAGACGUGGGAGGUGAUGAAGUCGCCGGACUGCGAUGAAACUGUGACCGUGAUGCUGGAACAGCGUCUGAGCCUCCUGCAGCUCCGACCUCCAGACAGAACCGCUCGACUGACGCCUGCCAGAGGGAAACCGAUGCACGACUUCAUCUGAACAUCAGCUCCUCCUCAGCUGCCAGCUGAUUGGUCGACCCAGUCCCACACAUGGACGGAUCCGUCCGAGGCAGCGGACAGGAGCGUCCGUGGCCUCUCGGGAUGCCAGACGUGGGAGGUGACGAAGACGCCGUCGUCAGACUGAGAUGAAACUGUGUGACCGCGGUGCUGGAACAGCGGCUGCGCCUCCUGCAGCUCCGACCUCCAGACUGACGUGUUGUAGAUCUGAACGGCUCCACUGAAACCUGCCAGAGGGAAACACAUCUGUUACUACAUCUGGUCUGAAACCACCGCCUGUCCAGACGAGGAGAGUCUGACGAUCCUGCAGCUGGUUGGGUCCAAACAGGAAGAACCUGAGGAGGCGUCCGUCCACCAGAGGACAGAUUCACCUGAAGACGCUGGUGGAGGUGAAAGCUGAGGGG
Long non-coding RNA from Acanthopagrus latus (yellowfin seabream), 1135 nucleotides. RefSeq lists it as uncharacterized. The transcript has 4 exons. NCBI's taxonomy places the organism in Eukaryota, Metazoa, Chordata, Actinopteri, Spariformes, Sparidae. The record is from RefSeq and is a predicted model, not a curated record.